UACGUAGGGGGCAAGCGUUGUCCGGAAUGACUGGGCGUAAAGGGAGUGUAGGCGGCUUAUCAAGUUAGAUGUGAAAUCCCGCGGCUUAACCGCGGAACUGCAUCUAAAACUGGUAAGCUGGAGUGCAGGAGAGGUGAGUGGAAUUCCUAGUGUAGCGGUGAAAUGCGUAGAUAUUAGGAGGAACACCAGUGGCGAAGGCGACUUUCUGGACUGUACCUGACGCUGAGGCGCGAAAGCAUGGGGAGCGAACAGG
This 253-nucleotide ribosomal RNA is filed under the name uncultured Eubacteriales bacterium. RNAcentral describes it as "uncultured Clostridiales bacterium partial 16S ribosomal RNA". It matches the Rfam family "Bacterial small subunit ribosomal RNA", at positions 524 to 776 of the family's 1533-position model. The record is from RNAcentral. Lineage: Bacteria; Bacillati; Bacillota; Clostridia; Eubacteriales.